CUUCUUUUAGACAUAGAAAUGAUUUUUAUUUUUGUAGUUCUUACAGUCAAAGAGUGCUUCUGUGUCAAUGGCUCCUUUAAUUUUUGAACAAUACUAUGAAGACACGGAAUGCUAGAGAGCAGACUCAGAGAAGAUUAUCCAUGUACCACGAUAAAAGAUGGUGGAAUAUUUAUCCCACGGCCCCACCAAGAGUUCCAAAAAAGAAAGAGUUGGUCAUUGGCGCAUUUCCCAAAGUCUCGGUUGGGUUGCUUAGACUGCGUGCACCUUCAUCCUCAUCGUCAACGUCAUCCACAGUAACCCAGGAGCAGUGGCCCACUGGUGCCUGGAAGAAGUGGCCUAAAAGUGAGUAGCGCUGAAUUCGAGC
RNAcentral lists this long non-coding RNA (364 nucleotides) under Aotus nancymaae (Ma's night monkey). RNAcentral's name for it is "lncRNA (ENSANAG00000039423.1)". The record is from RNAcentral. Lineage: Eukaryota; Metazoa; Chordata; Mammalia; Primates; Aotidae.